UUUUACAUUGAUUGAUUAAUUUUUUGAUCUUAAAGAUAUUUAGAUCAGCAAUGGCAAGAUUUUCCUGAGGAAAGAGAGGAUAUUAAUAUAGUGCAAACCCAAAAUGGCGCAUGUGUUUUUCCGCAGAAAAUAAAAAAGUUGUUUUGCCAGAGACACCUGCAUUAAUUUCCCUUAUAAGAAAAGCUACUAAAAAAGAUUCCUCAUCAAAUGGAAAGUCUCUCAUUACUGAGGAAGGUUGUUGACCAAUGGUUUAUAAUCAAAAUUUAAUAUGGCUGGCGGUAAGAAUAAAGAGAAGUUUGAAGGAACAAACAUUUGUAAGGUUGUUAUUGAGAGCGUCAUGUCAAUUAAAGCGAAUACUACAGUUGCCAAAAUAAGAAAAAGAAUAAUGACUUUAUUAAAUUACGCACUCGACAGAUCGAAUGGUCGGCGCGUAAAAGGCAAUUCACUAGAUCUAUAACAUUUUUUCCUAAUUGUUCUGGAACUAUUGUUAAAUAAAACUUUUUUUUUUUAACAUUUUACUCUAUUUGCAUUGUGUAUAAAGUCCCUUGAAGCAAUUUAGUUGUAUCUAAUUAAUUUACUUAAAAUAUAAUAUUCUUUGCACAAA
Molecule: long non-coding RNA, 604 nt
Organism: Hydra vulgaris (swiftwater hydra)
Lineage: Eukaryota; Metazoa; Cnidaria; Hydrozoa; Anthoathecata; Hydridae
Source: RefSeq, a predicted model, not a curated record